This 155-nucleotide ribosomal RNA is filed under the name Hormosira banksii. RNAcentral describes it as "partial 18S ribosomal RNA". It matches the Rfam family "Eukaryotic small subunit ribosomal RNA", at positions 1677 to 1831 of the family's 1831-position model. Lineage: Eukaryota; Phaeophyceae; Fucales; Hormosiraceae. The record is from RNAcentral.
CGCACCUACCGAUUGAAUGUUUCGGUGAAGAUUCCGGACCGUGACGAGCGCGCUUCACGGCGCUCUCGUCGUGGGAAGUUAUCUAAACCUCAACAUUUAGAGGAAGGUGAAGUCGUAACAAGGUUUCCGUAGGUGAACCUGCGGAAGGAUCAUUA